UACGGAGGGUGCGAGCGUUGUCCGGAAUCAUUGGGCGUAAAGGGCGCGUAGGUGGCCCGGUCAGUUCGUGGUGAAAGCGCGGGGCUCAACCCUGCGUCGGCCAUGAAUACUGCCGCGGCUGGAGCACUGUAGAGGCAGGCGGAAUUCCGGGUGUAGCGGUGGAAUGCGUAGAGAUCCGGAGGAACACCGAAGGCGAAGGCAGCUCGCUGGGACGGUACUGACGCUGAGGCGCGAAAGCGUGGGGAGCAAACAGG
This 254-nucleotide ribosomal RNA is filed under the name uncultured bacterium. Its description in RNAcentral is "partial 16S ribosomal RNA". It matches the Rfam family "Bacterial small subunit ribosomal RNA", at positions 524 to 776 of the family's 1533-position model. The record is from RNAcentral.